Molecule: long non-coding RNA, 371 nt
Filed under: Trifolium pratense (red clover)
Lineage: Eukaryota; Viridiplantae; Streptophyta; Magnoliopsida; Fabales; Fabaceae
Description: long non-coding RNA (TPRA_LNC004208)
Source: RNAcentral
CCUUCACAUGAAGAAACCAACCCCACAACUCAUCAAAAUCCUCAACCAACAGUUCUCAUCCCAUCUACCCUUAAUUUCUUAACUAUUAAGAAUUUUAAAAAAAAAAACCACGUGCUGACAAAUUUCACCGAAAACCACCGCAAAUAAGCACUUAUUUUUAAGUCUACAAAUUAUCCUCUGUUUUUUCUUUAACUCAACACCGCUUAACUCUGUUUUCAUCCAAAUGACUCUGUUUUCAUUAACCUUUCUUCCUAUUCACCACACCACCAUUACCAAUACUUUCCUUCUAAGAAAAUCAACAUUUUCUCAUACCCUUUUGCAUAAAAAUCAUAUUUCCAAUAACCCAAUUGUAAACUCCACCAACAAACACU